RNAcentral lists this ribosomal RNA (369 nucleotides) under Triticum aestivum (bread wheat). Its description in RNAcentral is "partial small subunit ribosomal RNA". The record is from RNAcentral. Lineage: Eukaryota; Viridiplantae; Streptophyta; Magnoliopsida; Poales; Poaceae.
AUGACGAUUAGGCGCGGACGGAGCACCGAUCACCAUCGCAAUCGUGCGUACACCUUAAAAUUCCCCGCCGCCGAAUCCGUCGGCCAACACGGCACAUCCAAACAAAUGAUCAAAUCAAACUGUGGACCGUCACACACUGCACAGCCGAGCAGCCAAAAUGACAAAAAGGAUCACAAUUUUAAAAUUACUCGCAAGUCGGAACUGGUAACUGUGUAUCUACAUUCUGCGCGAGAACCAAAGCGGGGUUCCGAGUCGAGCGCGCCAGAAUCCAAAUCCAACGGGACCUCCGUCCCGCCAGAGGAGAUCACGGAAACGACUCAAAGAAGAGGAAAUCACGAGAGGAUUCAGAGGGCAGGAGGUAACAACUAG